This 327-nucleotide ribosomal RNA is filed under the name uncultured eukaryote. RNAcentral describes it as "partial 18S ribosomal RNA". It matches the Rfam family "Eukaryotic small subunit ribosomal RNA", at positions 1470 to 1796 of the family's 1831-position model. The record is from RNAcentral.
CCCUUAGAUGUCCUGGGCUGCACGCGCGCUACACUGAUGUGUCCAGUAAGCACCUAACCUCUUCCGAAAGGAACGGGUAACCUUUGCAAAGCACAUCGUGAUGGGGAUAGAUUAUUGCAAUUAUUAGUCUUGAACGAGGAAUUCCUAGUAAGCACAAGUCAUCAGCUUGUGUUGAUUACGUCCCUGCCCUUUGUACACACCGCCCGUCGCUCCUACCGAUUGAAUGGUCCGGUGAAGCCUCGGGAUUGUGGUUGGUUUCCUUUAUUGGAGAUUGAUUGCGAGAACUUGUCUAAACCUUAUCAUUUAGAGGAAGGUGAAGUCGUAACA